GGAAGGCUCAUCUCAGCAGGGAGGAGGGAGCAGAGGAACGAAACAGCACACAGACUGAGACAAAGCUAUCCAUCUCUGAUAGCAUGGAGGGGAGCCUCAUCAGUGCAACACAAUGUGAUUUUUCCUGCUGGGAAGGCAGAGAAAUGAAGAUCACCAUUCUGCUGUGUCAGAAAAUGAGAAUCUCCAGCAUCUCCAUCCUCGCCAUUGUCAGAUGCGAAUCGCUGAAUUUUCUUUCAGCAGACGGUUGUCCCUAAUUUGCUCUGGAACCCAG
Long non-coding RNA from Paramormyrops kingsleyae, 271 nucleotides. RefSeq lists it as uncharacterized. The record is from RefSeq and is a predicted model, not a curated record. Lineage: Eukaryota; Metazoa; Chordata; Actinopteri; Osteoglossiformes; Mormyridae.